RNAcentral lists this long non-coding RNA (719 nucleotides) under Ananas comosus (pineapple). RNAcentral describes it as "long non-coding RNA (ACOM_LNC037096)". Lineage: Eukaryota; Viridiplantae; Streptophyta; Magnoliopsida; Poales; Bromeliaceae. The record is from RNAcentral.
UAUAACAUAGGCCUUUUAAGCAUUCUAAAAUUCACAAUAAAUACAUAUAACAAGAAUAUGCAUGCUUUUUCAUUUAACAACACUUAAUUAAGCACAAAUGAGAAUUUCUCAUUGUGUGGCUAGGUCAAACCCACCGAACCGUCGCGUAGAGCCUCGUCUCGCCGAACCAAGUUGUCCCCGAGUCUCAAAAUACCCUAAAAGUAAUCAGCGAAGAGAUACGAGGGCAUUACAACCAUCCUAUAACAACAAACAUUAACCUAGGAGCAAAAAGGGGCAAAACUCACCUCAAGAGUAGAAAUCUCUUCCAAAGCUCCAAAAGAGAGCUAGAACCCUUCCAAUCCAAGCCCUAGGAAGGUUCUAAACCAAUCAAUUUAGCCCCAAAAGCCCUAGAUCAAAAAUGCCCAAAAUAAGCCCUAAAUCUCAUUUCUAGGGUUUCAUCUCCCAAAAAUCACAAAAACAAGAAUCUAGAGGAGGGAAACAUGAUACUAACCCUUUGGAAGCUUCAAUCCAAGCCCAAAAUGCCCUAGGGUUGAAGUUGGUCCACCACUAAGCUCUACAAGCAAGCUCCAAGCCUUGCCAAGGUGGGAAAGAGAGAAAGGGGUUGAGCUCCAAGCUCCCUCAAACUAGCUCCUCUUCUUCUUCUCCUCCUUCUUCUUCUUCUCCUUCUUCUUCUUCUCUCUCUAGAAGGUGUAGGGUGGUGAGAAAUGAGGAGGGAAGGG